AUUAUUAGAAUUUGAUGUAGGAUUUAGGAUUUGAUUAGGGUUUGGAUUAGGGUUUGGUUUAGGAUUUGGUUAGGAUUUUAUUUAGGAUUUAGGGUUUGUUUAGGAUUUAAUAUAGGGUUUAGGAUUUUGUUAGGAUUUGGUUUAAGAUUUGAUUAGGGUUUGGUUUAGGAUUUAGGAUUUGGAUUAGGAUUUGGUUUAGGAUUUGGUUAGGAUUUUAUUUAGGAUUUAGGAUUUGAUUAGGGUUUGAUUUAGGGUUUAGGAUUUGAUAAGGGUUCGGUUUGGGAUUUAGGAUUUGAAUUAGGGUUUGAUUUAGGAUUUGGUUAGGGUUUGAUUUAGGAUUUAGGAUUUGGUUAGGAUUUGAUUUAGGGUUUAGGAUUUGGAUUAGGAUUUGAUUUAGGGUUUAGGAUUUUAUUGGGAUUUAAGAUUCAAAUAGUUUGGCCUAAAUUUUGAAUGAAAUUCAAUAGGAUUUUAACUAGAAUUAAAUUAAGAUUGAAUUGAGAUGUAUUUGAAUGAUAUUUGUGUUCUUUCUAAUGUUUCUUUAAAAAUUCUUAUUGUUUGUUUGAUAUUUCUUUGAGAUUUUUUUGAAUUUGAUUAAGCUUGCUUAGCAUUAUUAUAGUCUAAUUAGAGAAUUUUUAGUAUUCUAUUAGAAUUAGGAUUUUUUUAUUGCA
Molecule: long non-coding RNA, 668 nt
Filed under: Physcomitrium patens
Lineage: Eukaryota; Viridiplantae; Streptophyta; Bryopsida; Funariales; Funariaceae
Description: long non-coding RNA (PPAT_LNC006974)
Source: RNAcentral